UACGGGGGGGGCAAGCGUUGUUCGGAAUUACUGGGCGUAAAGGGCUCGUAGGCGGCCAACUAAGUCAGACGUGAAAUCCCUCGGCUUAACCGGGGAACUGCGUCUGAUACUGGAUGGCUUGAGAUUGGGAGAGGGAUGCGGAAUUCCAGGUGUAGCGGUGAAAUGCGUAGAUAUGCGGAGGAACACCGAUGGCGAAGGCAAUCCCCUGGGCCUGCACUGACGCUCAUGCACGAAAGCGUGGGGAGCAAACAGG
RNAcentral lists this ribosomal RNA (253 nucleotides) under uncultured bacterium. RNAcentral describes it as "partial 16S ribosomal RNA". It matches the Rfam family "Bacterial small subunit ribosomal RNA", at positions 524 to 776 of the family's 1533-position model. The record is from RNAcentral.